GGGUCAGUAGGUUGGUCGUGCCACCGGUACGUACUGGUCUCACUGAUUCCUCCUUCCUGAAGAACCGUAAUGCCAUUAAUUUGGUGUUGCGGGGAGACAGGACUGUUACUUUGAGAAAAUUAGAGUGUUUAAAGCAAGCUAACGCUUGAAUACAUUGGCAUGGAAUAAUGAAAUAGGACGAUCGAUCCUAUUUUGUUGGUUUCUAGGAUUGACGUA
RNAcentral lists this ribosomal RNA (216 nucleotides) under Glomeromycotina sp. RNAcentral's name for it is "partial small subunit ribosomal RNA". The stretch from base 40 to 216 matches the Rfam family "Eukaryotic small subunit ribosomal RNA", at positions 686 to 864 of the family's 1831-position model. Lineage: Eukaryota; Fungi; Glomeromycota. The record is from RNAcentral.